AUUGAAAUGUCAUUAGAGGGCACCGGCAAGUGUCACACCGUCAAACUUCGCAGGCACGCAGUAAUGGCGGCAGGCAGCAGGUGACUCCGUGCCGGAUCCGUUUUCAAACCGGCAAAUCCGCGUUACAGUCACCUCCGUUUCACUGCUCUAAAACGGAUCCAGCCCGGUCCCGGUUUCCGUGGGCGGGAACAACAGUCGCAACGCAGAUUCGGCCCGUAUCCGCGGAAACGAGCGCGCGAAUUUUUUUCUGGAGUUUAGAAGAGGAGGCAGACGCAGACGGUGCUCGGUCGGUAUCCUACUUCAAAAACAUCACCAAAGAGCUGUAAGGAAUAACCAGUCCUCUACCAGUGCAGCAGAUUCUUGCCUUUGACUGUGGCGAUGACCAGAAGGAAUGUGCCAAAGCCAAAGAGGCCUUAACUGAGAUGCCUCAUGGGAAUUAAACGGCACAUAUGAAGUGGUUUGUAAUACCAUGGUUUUCCGACCUGUCCCGAUUGGUUCUUGAUGUGUUUAUGGUUCAUUAUAUGAAAUUAUUUUUUGUAUGUUUAUUUUUUCCCCAUUUCUUCUAUUUUUUUUUUUUUUCUUCUUUACUUAUACAUUAAGAAAGGUCGUGAGAUUGUUUAACUGUUUGUGUAUCAAUGUUUUAAAGUAUAGUUCACCGGAAAAUGAGAAUUUGCUGUUAAUUUACUCACCCUCAAGCCAUCCAUGAUGUAGGUGACAUUUUUUUUCUUCAGUUGAACAGUAAAGAUUUUUAGCGUGGUCCUUGGUGAUUCGUAUAAUGCAAGUCAAUGGCUACCGUCACUUUGAGAGUCAUUAAAACAUAUUACAGGCAAAACAAAGUUAAUACCUGUGACUGAUGCUGACG
Molecule: long non-coding RNA, 862 nt
Organism: Megalobrama amblycephala (Wuchang bream)
Lineage: Eukaryota; Metazoa; Chordata; Actinopteri; Cypriniformes; Xenocyprididae
Exons: 3
Source: RefSeq, a predicted model, not a curated record